This 271-nucleotide long non-coding RNA is filed under the name Mus spicilegus (steppe mouse). RNAcentral describes it as "lncRNA (ENSMSIG00000008981.1)". Lineage: Eukaryota; Metazoa; Chordata; Mammalia; Rodentia; Muridae. The record is from RNAcentral.
UUACAGGCUUUGGGAAGAUGCAACUUGUCCAAUUUACAUGAUGUCUGGAAGUAACACCAGGUAUUCUGGGGAGUAGUAUUUACUCCUCCUCUGCCAUCUUUCUUCUGUGACAAAUUCAAUGUUUAUUAUUCUACAUAUUUGGUUCUUAUUAAAGAUCUUCCCUGUAUUGAAUAUCAAAAACAUAUUCCACUACUUGGAAAGAAGCUUCUUCAGGAGAAGAGUAAAGUGAUUCCCGUGGAUUUAUAAAAAUAAAACAAAAAUUGACAUUACA